ACGCUGGCGGCGUGCCUAAUACAUGCAAGUCGAACGAGAGCGACCGGUGCUUGCACUGGUCAAUCUAGUGGCGAACGGGUGAGUAACACGUGGGUAACCUGCCCAUCAGAGGGGGAUAACAUUCGGAAACGGAUGCUAAAACCGCAUAGGUCUUCGAACCGCAUGGUUUGAAGAGGAAAAGAGGCGCAAGCUUCUGCUGAUGGAUGGACCCGCGGUGCAUUAGCUAGUUGGUGAGGUAACGGCUCACCAAGGCCGUGAUGCAUAGCCGACCUGAGAGGGUGAUCGGCCACAUUGGGACUGAGACACGGCCCAAACUCCUACGGGAGGCAGCAGUAGGGAAUCUUCCGCAAUGGACGCAAGUCUGACGGAGCAACGCCGCGUGAGUGAAGAAGGUUUUCGGAUCGUAAAACUCUGUUGUUAGAGAAGAACAAGUGCUAGAGUAACUGUUAGCGCCUUGACGGUAUCUAACCAGAAAGCCACGGCUAACUACGUGCCAGCAGCCGCGGUAAUACGUAGGUGGCAAGCGUUGUCCGGAUUUAUUGGGCGUAAAGCGAGCGCAGGCGGUUCCUUAAGUCUGAUGUGAAAGCCCCCGGCUCAACCGGGGAGGGUCAUUGGAAACUGGGGAACUUGAGUGCAGAAGAGGAGAGUGGAAUUCCAUGUGUAGCGGUGAAAUGCGUAGAUAUAUGGAGGAACACCAGUGGCGAAGGCGACUCUCUGGUCUGUAACUGACGCUGAGGCUCGAAAGCGUGGGUAGCAAACAGGAUUAGAUACCCUGGUAGUCCACGCCGUAAACGAUGAGUGCUAAGUGUUGGAGGGUUUCCGCCCUUCAGUGCUGCAGUUAACGCAUUAAGCACUCCGCCUGGGGAGUACGACCGCAAGGUUGAAACUCAAAGGAAUUGACGGGGACCC
This 909-nucleotide ribosomal RNA is filed under the name uncultured bacterium. RNAcentral describes it as "bacterial SSU rRNA". It matches the Rfam family "Bacterial small subunit ribosomal RNA", at positions 33 to 922 of the family's 1533-position model. The record is from RNAcentral.